AACGAACGCUGGCGGCAUGCCUAACACAUGCAAGUCGAACGAGACCUUCGGGUCUAGUGGCGCACGGGUGCGUAACGCGUGGGAACCUGCCCUUAGGUUCGGAAUACCUCCCCGAAAGGGGUGCUAAUACCGGAUAAUGUCUUCGGACCAAAGAUUUAUCGCCUUUGGAUGGGCCCGCGUUGGAUUAGCUAGUUGGUAGGGUAAAAGCCUACCAAGGCGAGGAUCCAUAGCUGGUCUGAGAGGAUGAUCAGCGACACUGGGACUGAGACACGGCCCAGACUCCUACGGGAGGCAGCAGUGGGGAAUAUUGGACAAUGGGCGAAAGCCUGAGCCAGCAAUGCCGCGUGAGUGAUGAAGGCCUUAGGGAUGUAAAGCUCUUUUACCCGGGAUGAUAAUGACAGUACCGGGAGAAUAAGCUACGGCUAACUCCGUG
Molecule: ribosomal RNA, 433 nt
Filed under: uncultured bacterium
Lineage: Bacteria
Description: partial 16S ribosomal RNA
Rfam family: Bacterial small subunit ribosomal RNA
Source: RNAcentral